This 768-nucleotide ribosomal RNA is filed under the name uncultured archaeon. Its description in RNAcentral is "bacterial SSU rRNA". It matches the Rfam family "Archaeal small subunit ribosomal RNA", at positions 89 to 861 of the family's 1478-position model. The record is from RNAcentral.
CUCAGUAACACGUGGAUAACCUUCCCUUAGGACCGGAAUAACCCCGGGAAACUGGGGAUAAUACCGGAUAAGCCAUAGACGCUGGAAUGCCCUAUGGUUCAAAGCUCCGGCGCCUAAGGAUGGAUCUGCGGUCUAUCAGGUUGUAGUGGGUGUAACGUACCUACUAGCCGACGACGGAUACGGGUUGUGAGAGCAAGAGCCCGGAGAUGGAUUCUGAGACACGAAUCCAGGCCCUACGGGGUGCAGCAGGCGCGAACACUUUACAAUGCGGGAAACCGCGAUAAGGGAACCCCGAGUGCCAGCAUCAAAUGUUGGCUGUCCAGAUGAUUAAAAAUCAUUUGUUAGCAAGGGCCGGGCAAGACCGGUGCCAGCCGCCACAGUAACACCGGCGGCCCGAGUGGUAGCCGUUUUUAUUGGGUCUAAAGGGUCCGUAGCCGGCCUGAUAAGUCCUUUGGGAAAUCUGGCAGCUUAACUGUCAGGCUCCUAAGGGAUACUGUCAGGCUUGGGACCGGAAGAGGUAAGGGGUACUCCAGGGGUAGGAGUGAAAUCUUGUAAUCCCUGGGGGACCAUCUGUGGCGAAGGCGCCUUACCAGAACGGGUCCGACGGUGAGGGACGAAAGCUAGGGGAGCAAACCGGAUUAGAUACCCGGGUAGUCCUAGCUGUAAACGAUGCUCGCUAGGUGUCAGACACGGUGCGACCGUGUUUGGUGCCGCAGGGAAGCCGUUUUGCGCCACCUGGGAAGUACGGUCGCAAGGCUGAAACUAAAG